GUGCCUAAUACAUGCAAGUCGAGCGAGCGGAACCAACAGAUUUACUUCGGUAAUGACGUUGGGAAAGCGAGCGGCGGAUGGGUGAGUAACACGUGGGGAACCUGCCCCUAAGUCUGGGAUACCAUUUGGAAACAGGUGCUAAUACCGGAUAAUAAAGCAGAUCGCAUGAUCAGCUUUUGAAAGGCGGCGUAAGCUGUCGCUAAGGGAUGGCCCCGCGGUGCAUUAGCUAGUUGGUAAGGUAACGGCUUACCAAGGCGACGAUGCAUAGCCGAGUUGAGAGACUGAUCGGCCACAUUGGGACUGAGACACGGCCCAAACUCCUACGGGAGGCAGCAGUAGGGAAUCUUCCACAAUGGACGCAAGUCUGAUGGAGCAACGCCGCGUGAGUGAAGAAGGUUUUCGGAUCGUAAAGCUCUGUUGUUGGUGAAGAAGGAUAGAGGUAGUAACUGGCCUUUAUUUGACGGUAAUCAACCAGAAAGUCACGGCUAACUACGUGCCAGCAGCCGCGGUAAUACGUAGGUGGCAAGCGUUGUCCGGAUUUAUUGGGCGUAAAGCGAGCGCAGGCGGAAAAAUAAGUCUAAUGUGAAAGCCCUCGGCUUAACCGAGGAACUGCAUCGGAAACUGUUUUUCUUGAGUGCAGAAGAGGAGAGUGGAACUCCAUGUGUAGCGGUGGAAUGCGUAGAUAUAUGGA
Molecule: ribosomal RNA, 691 nt
Filed under: Lactobacillus amylovorus
Lineage: Bacteria; Bacillati; Bacillota; Bacilli; Lactobacillales; Lactobacillaceae
Description: bacterial SSU rRNA
Rfam family: Bacterial small subunit ribosomal RNA
Source: RNAcentral